GCUGAUCGAAGAUAUAUCUCCCCUCUGUGCCUUUCCUCCAUGGGAAAGGCACAGGAAAGGCACAGAGGGGAGAAAUAGCUUGAUCGG
This is a non-coding RNA of Podarcis lilfordi (Lilford's wall lizard), 87 nucleotides long. NCBI's taxonomy places the organism in Eukaryota, Metazoa, Chordata, Lepidosauria, Squamata, Lacertidae. The record is from the annotation of a GenBank genome assembly.